RNAcentral lists this long non-coding RNA (365 nucleotides) under Panicum hallii. Its description in RNAcentral is "long non-coding RNA (PHAL_LNC000375)". The record is from RNAcentral. Lineage: Eukaryota; Viridiplantae; Streptophyta; Magnoliopsida; Poales; Poaceae.
ACAUAUCUUGUACAUCCUUUGAACCUUUUUUUUUGUUUCAAAUCUGGAUUGUGAAAAGUAGCUUUUAUGAGCUUUUUUUUUAGCCUGGACCCUAAGUAUACAAGUUGUAGAAUCUGAACUCAACACAACACACUCACACCACACACACGCACACCUCUAGAGCCUACAACCUAUACACACAACCAGCGUCCUUCUGGAGAUCACCAAAGCCGCACAGAGCCUUGUAGACGACGGGCACAGUCCAGGACCUGCAGGAAACAAAUACGGGGAAUAAACCCCCAGUGCGACACCCGGUGCUCCCAAGGGGAGUCGAACCCGGGUGGGUGCGCUCCACAACCGGAGCCGCCACCAUCGCGCCACAGGUG